Sinocyclocheilus anshuiensis is the source of this 871-nucleotide RNA transcript. RefSeq lists it as uncharacterized. The record is from RefSeq and is a predicted model, not a curated record. NCBI's taxonomy places the organism in Eukaryota, Metazoa, Chordata, Actinopteri, Cypriniformes, Cyprinidae. The transcript is spliced from 3 exons.
GACAGACACCAAAGAAAGGUUUGGACUGCAGUAUGUGGAGCCUGGUUGUCGUCCUGUCCCCUUGGACUGGGACAAGCACAAGUCCCAGAAGGUACCUGUUGCAUGGGAGGGAGAGCAUCAGUCCUCAUAACCGUCUGCUCUCAGUGAGAGAUUCCCACCUCAUGACCCACCUGAGGAGCUGAGGGGGGAACACUUUGCUCAGCCUGGGCAGCCCACCAAAGUAAAAGAUGAGAUGACACCACCACUGCCUUUUGCUUUUGCUCCCUCUCCACGAGCUGCUCGCACAGGUCCCAUCAAGGCAGGCGGGCUACUUUUUGUCCUGGACCAUUUUCGGUGGACACAGCCCAUGAGGGAUUCCAUUGAUGGCCUUCUGGCAAAGUACCAUGGGCAGAAAGACCUUCUCACCCAGGUGGAUGCGGAGUAUGCUGCCCUUGUGCAGGCUGCCUCCAGGGAUCCCAAUAGCCUCUUACACCCCACCACGAAACAGCAUAUCUCACGUUAUGUGAAACACCUGGCCAAGAUGACGAACACAAGUUCAUCCCUGAACACCAGUUCAGAGAAACUCCUGGAGACCCAGCAGCUGUGGCAUCACCUCACAGAAGGUAGUGAAACUGUAAGUGUUCCAGUGGUAACCCUCCCACCUGCCCCAGUGAACCCACCCAGUAAUAAGCCCCAGGAGUUUCCGCUAACUAAAAAAUAUAACUCUGUAUCUUGUUUGUUAUGGAUGAAUGUCACAUGCUGAAACCACUGUGGCAUGUUCCUGCCUUAUUUGUCUUUUUUUUUUUUUGUACUUUAGAAUGCCAUGUUGACUCCAUGCAGGAUUGUAAAAUGUAAAAAGUCUGCUUAACUUUUACUGUUAUAUAUGCAUCAU